This 497-nucleotide ribosomal RNA is filed under the name uncultured bacterium. RNAcentral describes it as "partial 16S ribosomal RNA". It matches the Rfam family "Bacterial small subunit ribosomal RNA", at positions 28 to 507 of the family's 1533-position model. The record is from RNAcentral.
GACGAACGCUGGCGGCGUGCCUAAUACAUGCAAGUUGAGCGCUGAAGGUUGGUACUUGUACCAACUGGAUGAGCAGCAAACGGGUGAGUAACGCGUGGGGAAUCUGCCUUUGAGCGGGGGACAACAUUUGGAAACGAAUGCUAAUACCGCAUAAAAACUUUAAACACAAGUUUUAAGUUUGAAAGAUGCAAUUGCAUCACUCAAAGAUGAUCCCGCGUUGUAUUAGCUAGUUGGUGAGGUAAAGGCUCACCAAGGCGAUGAUACAUAGCCGACCUGAGAGGGUGAUCGGCCACAUUGGGACUGAGACACGGCCCAAACUCCUACGGGAGGCAGCAGUAGGGAAUCUUCGGCAAUGGACGAAAGUCUGACCGAGCAACGCCGCGUGAGUGGAGAAGGUUGUCGGAUCGUAAAACUCUGUUGGUAGAGAAGAACGUUGGUGUGAGUGGAAAGCUCAUCAAGUGACGGUAACUACCCAGAAAGGGACGGCUAACUACGUG